GGCAUGGCUGUCUAUGCUCAUAUUGCAAUUGAUUUUUGAUGAUAUAUUGAUCAAUACUAUACCCUAAAUGAUUAUCAUCAGAGUUACGCUCAUUAAUUUUAUCCCAUACCACAUCAAGAAUAUUAGUCACAAAGAAACGAUGAGCAUAUCAUUAUACCAGUGCAAGAAUGAUUACGACAGAAGAGUAGACCACACUCCUUGAGACUACGAAAUGAAAUGGAUUGGAGAGAAUCCAGCAACACACCUACAUAUCGAGUCUGUGGAGAGGCAGGCCAUAAUAGACCAAGAACAAGAAAUAGAGAAUGAUAUCUGCCCCG
RNAcentral lists this long non-coding RNA (317 nucleotides) under Elaeis guineensis (African oil palm). Its description in RNAcentral is "long non-coding RNA (EGUI_LNC004921)". The record is from RNAcentral. Lineage: Eukaryota; Viridiplantae; Streptophyta; Magnoliopsida; Arecales; Arecaceae.